CCCCUGGCGGGGGGGCGGGGUCGCUUCACUGAAGUGCGGUGGGGAAAUGGCAGGAGGGACGUUCAGGAGUAACGAGCAAUAAGCGGAAUAAUUGUAGGGGAAAGGGACCUGGGGGUCCUGGGGACAGCAGGGUGACUAUGAGCCAGCACUGGGCCCUUGUGGCCAGGAAGGCCAAUGGUACCUGGGGUGUACGAGAAGGGGGGUGGUCAGUAGGUCAGAGAGGUUCUGCUGCCCCUCUACUCUGCCCUGGUGAGACCACACCUGGAAUAUUGUGUCCAGUUGUGGCCCCUCAAUUCCAGCAGGACAGGGAACUGCUGGAGAGAGUCCAGCGCAGGGCAACAAAGAUGCUGAAGGGAGUGGAGCAUCUCCCGUGUGAGGAAAGGCUGAGGGAGCUGGGGCUCUGGAGCUGGACAAGAGGAGACUGAGGGGUGACCUUAUUAAUGUUUACGAAUAUGUAAAGGAUGAGUGUCAUGAGGAUGGAGCCAGGCUCUUCUCAGUGACAACCAAUGAUAAGGCAAGGGGUAAAGGGUUCAAACUGGAGGUUUUGUGGUUUUGUGAAAAACUGUGUUUUUCAAACACAGGAGGUUCCACUUAAAUAUGAGAAGAAACUUCUCAGUGAGGGUGGCAGAGCCUGGCCCAGGCUGCCCAGGGGGUUGUGGAGUCUCCUUCUCUGCAGACAUUCCAACCCGCCUGGACACCUUCCUGUGUAACCUCAUCUGGGUGUUCCUGCUCCAUGGGGGGUUUGCACUGGGUGAGCUUUCCAGGGCCCUUCCAAUCCCUGAUAUUCUGUGAUACGUCAACAUCUGUGCUUAAUCUCUACAGUACUACAGAAACAGAGGUCACUGGGUGUUGAUUUAGCUGAUGGCUGUAGUUUUAAAAGUUGUAGGAGUCUGGUGAAUGUGGGUGAGGCAUGGUGAAGAUACAUGUGAUACUGCCAACUUUCUUGAGUAUAUUCUUGUGUAGUUUUCUUGCAAAGUCACAUUGUAAAGAAACCUGGACAAUAUGUCUGUCCCUUCAUGUCUGGGAAAGGAAUAAUAAGAAUUCUCACAAAGUUAUUAAUAAAGCAGUCGUAUCUGUCUGGUUUUGUACAUGCAGUAUUUUAAGUUAAAGCUCUGGAUUCCAUUACAUUUUUUAGCAGUUAAAUAUGAGAUUGAUGCUGCUUUCUCUGCUACAUGAAAUAGCUAUGGACAGGCUGGAGAUGGUCCAGUGAAGGGCCACAAAGAUGAUCCAAGGACGCGGAAGCUGCCAUAUGAGGAAAGGCUGAGAGAACUGGUCUUGUUCAGCCUUGAGGAAAGAUGCGCAGGGGAGACCUUGUCUCUGUGUUCCUGUAUUUAAAGGGUGGCUACAAAGAAGGUGGAGACUCCUUUUUUACAAGAAACCCCAUGGAAAAGACAGGAGGCAAUGGGUACAAGUUACUCCUGGGGAGAUUCCAGUGGGACACAAAAGGGAAAUUUUAAAUGAUGAGAAUAAUCAACCAUUGGAUAAUGUUCCCAGCGAAGCGUUGGAUUCUGCAACAUUGGACAUGUUUAAGAUUCAGCUGGAGAGGCACUGGGCAAUCUUGUCUAGACCAUGCUUGUGCCAAGAAAGGUUGGGCCAGAUGAUCCCUGUGGUCCCUUCCAGCCUGGUAUUCUAUGAUGUCUGUGUUGCAGGGAAACAAUUUUUAAAUGUCCGUUCUUGAUACUAUCUAAGGGAGGAUAUAUAUAGAUAUAGAUAUAUACAUAUACAUUUUUUUUUUCUUCCUCAUGCUCACUAACACAACACAUAAAUUAAGGCAAGCUGACAGAACUGGGAAUUUGAACAGUGAGAUGUGAUUAUAUUAGUUUUUAUUUAGGCAGUCUGUUUUGGAAAAUAGAGUAUUUAGGACCAGUAAGGACAAGUUAGCACAGAUUGUUUUAAGAGGCAAAGUCUGUUUAUGCAGAAAGCAGAAAAGAGACAUGAAACAACCAAGAGUUUUUUGAAUAUUUGAAGUGUAUCAAAUGAAAGUAUUUGCAUAAAUUGGAAUGAAGUACAAAUAUUGAUUUAAUUUUCAUGAAGAAUUUCCUUUACAAAUUUCAAAACAAUGUAAUAUAAACAUGUUUGCACUAAGUGCACUUCUAAACACUUCAGAAAUAGUUAUGGGAGUAACUCAUAGAUUUGAACUGCAGUGAUUUCCUACACCUGAGUUUUAAUAUGAGUAAAUUAAACUGCCAGGAAAAUUCAGCAGUAGCUUUUUAUACUUAUGAGUUGAGGUUUUUCUAAAGCUGGAGGGCAAUCUGAAUUAGUUCAGGUGCACUUUACUGGGAUGUUCUCAGAGUUUCUUGGAAUAAUGUAACUCUUGAGUUGUUUUAGAUGCAAAACAUAACUCUAUAAAUCUAAUUUGAUGCUGUGUAAAACCAGGAAUUCUUUCCUUUUUUCUUAACUUUUUUUUUUUUUUUUUUCCCUUUUCUUUCACUGUGUUGAGUUGACCGUACAAGGACAAGUGAAUUGGAAUUUUGCAUCAGAUAAUUCUUGUCCACAUGUAUAUUGAUGUCUUCAUCGGAACUUCAAGAGGUUUGUCAUGCUUGCCUUCUCAUUAUGGAAGCAAAAUCAACACCUCCACCCGGAAUACCUGGACUUGACUCUCUGUGCACUCUGGAUCAUCUCAAGUUGACUGACAGAGGGUCCAGGAAUGCCCUCUAGAAGCAAAAAGACUGCUUGCACUCCUGAGACUGUGUAUCAGAAUGCCAAAUCUGGGAGAGAUGGGGCACCUUGACAGUGAGACGGGCUGCAAGUCCAGCAGGAAAAAACAAAGUUUCAACCAAGAUUACACAACUGUUCUCUCAGAACUAGGCCUGGGUUCAAGUCAGCUGAUCACUGGAGAAGAUUAUCUAGAAAAUUUGAAGUCCCUUGCUCAGGAGUCCCAUAAUAGCCUUCGCUGACUUUCCUUGAGAGUCGUCUUCAUUCCUCAUAAAGCACAAAUAUGGGGUAGUUUUCAGUUUAUGCUUGGAUUUAUGGCAAAGGAGGAAAGAUGAGUUCAUAAGACAAAGUCCAGAUCUGAAUUUAGUCUGUGAUUUAGAUUUGAAGGGAUCAGCAGCAGCUGCUGUCUACGUGAAUUUAUAUUCUUUGAUCAACAAGACAAGCAGCUUGUUGUUUUUCUUACUCCUGUGCCUGUAGCUGUAUGAUCUUAGGAAUGAGUCUUGUCAAGUCUCGGACUUAGUGACACACAAGUUAUUUUGGCCACAGACUACAACAGCAAACACAGGUGCAGAGUGUUCUGCUUAUGUUAAGUGUCUUUCUCUGUUGUUCCUACCAUGUAUUAUUCCUUCCCCUGAGUAAAAACUGCCCUCAACAAUGUAUUCAUGAUUCUCUUUUCUAGAUACAUUGUAAAGAAAAAAAAAUUCGUUAAAAAAUAAUCCCAUGAGAGUUUUUCUAAGCAAUAUGUCAUGGUUUCUAGCUAGAUUUCUGCUUGCCUACAGACAUUUUAUAACCUUCUUAAUUUUACUGACUUAAAUUAUACUGUAUCAUACAACAAUGAAUUGUUUCUAGUCACCAGAUCUCAUUCUAGAGAAGCAGGAAAAGUCAAUCCAUUGUCUGUGUGCAAGUAAACAAACAGAAUCUAUAUGUGCUAUUUGGUAUGGUGCAAGGGCUCUAUUACUGUUCUUUUGGCGUUCAUGUUACUCAGAUAGCAAAGAUACACCCUGAUUAUUUAGCAUGUACACUUUACCAUCAGGACUUCCAGAGGUGCAGGUACUUUAUGAGGAAGGCCAUGUGUGAUAGUUGUUGAUGUGAGACUGUAGUUGCCACAACUUCUGCUGUGUAGGACUUGGGUUGUCACUAGAGUGGCACACAAAAUGAAAGAAGCAAUAUAUAACAAAUAGAUGUUCUUUUUUUUGUGUGUGUGUGUUUGUUGUUGGUUUUUGUUUGUUUGUUUUUUGUUUUCUUUUUCCUUUACACAGAUUGUUUUGUUUCUGUAGUCUUUUUGUCUCAGAACUUUGUGGUAUGGUAAAAUGUAAGGAGUGCUGGGAAUGAUAGAGUUUUUACACAAUACUUCAUGGAGACUAAGAGCUCACAGAACUAAUAAAAACUUAAAAAUACCACAAAUUUUCAAAAUAGCAAUUUUGCAUUCAUUUCAGUAGAACCAGAGCUGUUCUGAAAUGUGACUUGUCAGUCAGUCCAGGACUUUAUAGAUUGUCCUUGGUAGUUAGGUGACAAUCACUGAGAAUUUACUUUCAGUUUUAGCCCUGGAACUGACUGUCCUUUAUAUAGAGACUUAUUGUAUUGAAGUAAAUGUAGCUGGAUGAAUAGUAACCUGUGAACUCUUUUUUCCAAAUGUGCAGUAUGUGAGGAAGCUUUAUCAGCUGGUCACUGCUUUGUUCACUGCUUGGAUGUAACUGUAGCUUUGAGUUUGUUUUUGCUUUUUUGAUUAAUUUUCUCCAAGCCCUUGAUUGUUGCAUAGGUCAAUGAACUGCGUCCCUGCUGCAGAAUGCAUUCUGUUACCCUGUAGCGAAAUGAAUGGUUUGACUUCCUGCUUUCCUGAUACUGGUGUUGGGCUUAUCUCACCUGGCUUCAGCCUGAGUUUUAUGCUGGUAGGAUGGUUGUCCACAUCUGCUGGAAUGGUUAAGGGUAUUGGGAACAUUAAGAAUAAAUGCAACAGAUAGCUCAGGUAGUGUGAGGAAAUGGAAAAAAAUGCUUGGUAUUUAUGUGUGAAUGAAUGAUAAAUUAAAUGUAAUAUGGUAGUAGGUGUGUAUAUAAAUCUGUAUAUACACUGUACGACUUGAUAUGGCUAUAAAAAGCAUAACUGGGCAGGAAAACAACUUAGAGAUUUCCUGCCAGAAUCUUUCUUCACAAGAAAGCAUUAUUUGAUGAAACUGGAGCUGGAGAAAUUUCCUGGGAAAAUGUUUGAAAUACCUCAACAAUACUUUCCUACUGGUAAGGUUUUUUUUUUUUUUUUUUUUUAUUGUUUGAAAUGAAAUUGUACAUCAAUAUUUUGGAUAUUAUAUACCAGAGGAUCUCAAAAUGAUGACCUUUUGCUCUCUGUUUUUUAGGGAAGAAACAAAAAAUGUAUGUAGCUUGACAGGGACUCAUUUGAUUUGGCUUAGUUUCAUUUUAAGUCAAGACAACUUAUUUUUGAGGUCUAUAGAAGUGUCUCUGCUUUACAGCCAUGUCAACAAGAAGAAAAAAAGACUUCCACCAGGACCUGUGGUACCUACAGAGAAGAUGCACGUAGAAAGAUCCUUGAGGUUACAACCUCACAGCUACACUGAGAGUAGAAGCCUGUGGCAGAGCAUUUUGACAGCUGUGCUUCCCUGUGAAGUAGCACCAAGUAUCUUAAAUCAAACAUCAAAACUCUAAAAAUAGUGCAAGCAGUUUAUGCAAUGGGUGAGAAACUCAAAUGUCAGCCUGAAAGAGUAAAAGUAAAUAACUGCAAAACUGCAGUUUUAGGGCUAAAGUGUAUAUAUUAUUUUUUCUCUUUAAAGACAGGCACAGAAUGUUGUCUGUUUCUCUGGAAAAAUGAGAACUCCUCGGUAGGAGGAAGAGUUCUAACAGUAAGACAGUUCAUUUUCCUCCUGUUCCUGUGGAUGUUAGAUAAAAGUGGAGGAAAUCUAAUGUCUGGAAAAGAUGUAGAUUAAAAGUUGGGGAAAAAAAAAUUACCCUGGGCCUCAAAACAAUACGAUACAAUAAUUGUUUGAAGAAAGAUAAAAAUACAUAACCCUAAUACAGAAUAGGAGGAAAUAUAGUGUAAAACAUGGAUCUCAGAAAAUUUGUAGAAUACUUGAUAGCAAACUCAGAGAAUGAUUCUAGAGUUUGUAAGAUGAAGAGCCUGUCUGUUGCCUUCUAUCUUAUUUUGCCAGUUUUAUCCUAGGAAAGUAGAUAGAAAACCUGACCUGUGCUCAGUGUAGACAGAAAUAAAUGACUAAUGAAUGUGAGAGUCAGCGCAUGUUAAUUUGAAAGUUCCUAUACCGAUGACUUAACAUGAAGAUGGAAGAGAAAUUCAGAAGGAGUUUUCAGAGCCUUCCAAUAUUUCCAUUUUCAUUUAAUAUUUGUCUGAGUUAGAGUAAUCAGAAAGAAAUACAAAGCGUAUUUUAUCUCUUAAAAAAAUAUUUUUGUUAUCCCUCCUCCCAGAAAAUAUGGGCAAUGUGGUGCUUGUUUUUACUCUGUGAAGCACUUAAGUCUUUUUACCACCGAAGAAAUGUGAGGAGUUAAUUUUGUCUAUCUCUGGGGAGAAGAAUAUGAAACUCUACCCGUACUAAAAAUAAGCAGUUGUUACUUGAGUUGUCUUUAGUCAGCAUGGUUUUCUGUGGGUUUUGCUCCUAAAACAGCUGCAAAUAGGAACAAGGGUGUUUGGAGUUUGCUGUGUGCAUAUCCAAAUAACCAUUUAACCAUGGAGCCGAAGAAGUCUGUCUUGAUGAAAGGAAGAUGGACAAUCCUGACUGUUCCUACCAAGGAACAUAUGGAUGUGGUGGAAGAAGCUCCAGCUGAGACUGAGUGGUUGUUAGAGUCAGUCUUUGGAAUGAGGGUCACACCAGGGCAACACCAACAUGCCAUUCAGGAUGCAAGCCUGCAACUGGAAGCACUAAUGAAUUCUAUGCAUAAUAUUGCAUAAGCUCUUUAAGUCAUCAGCAACAUGAAUACAGAAGGACUGUCCAAAGCCAGGCCAUAUUGCACUUGAUCAUAUUGAAGGAAAAAGGUGUGUACAGGAAGCCAUGUCUACAUCCUGAGCAUCUGGGUGCCAUUACAAGAACCACUAUGAGGACAAAUAACAGCAGACUCAGGGUCAAUUGUUGCUGUUCUGGGAACAAGCUGGUGAAAAAACUUUCAAUGCAUUUAUUUUCCUUAUCAGGAUGACUAACCAGCCUCCUCCACCAUUUGAUAAUAACUGUAAUUGUUGUAAUUUGCACUAUUCUGUUCUUUAUUAGUAGGUUGACUUGUAAUGAUAAUGUAUAACAGGAAAAUGACACAUAAGGUAUGAUGAUCCACAGUGGGCAUUAAAAGUCACUAACAGAGUUCCCCCUUUUGACUUCAGAGGCAAGAGAUGACUGUACUACAACUCCAGAGUGGCUUGUCAGAUUGUGACUGUGGUCACAGGGUGGAUUGUGUGGCAGUUGCACAUCCCCCUGAGACCUGGAGCCUUCAAUGGGGCAGUUGAUGGCUCCUUAGCACCUUUUGUUGCCCCACUGUGCCUGUCCCCAUGUACACACCUAGGGUGGUACCAAGGUGCUGUUACUCACAUCCUUGGAGCACAGUGACUUCACCUCUGCCAGCUGGUGGGGCAGGAGAGGUGGGACCCUCGGUCAUUUGGCAGCGUCCUCAACAAAGGAGGUGCCCAGAAAAGCUGCAAAGCUUCUGGACUGUGUUGGAAUGCCCACAGCCAGAUGUCACCAGGCUAUAAAACAAGGUCCUUGCUGAAGGCAUCCUUGGGAAUGGUCUUCUCAGAGCAGCAGGUCUUUGAACUGGAGACACUGUCUAAGGAGACUUCCCGGAAUUGAGAGCGCCUUGUUUGAGUGAGUGGUUAUUUACUGGAUAUACCCUUGAAUGAGUCCUUGCCUAACCAGGCAAGUCCUCACCUAACCCAGGCAAGUGAUUAUUUCUUGUGGGUACCCUGGAGUCAGAGGGCUCUGGUUUUGUUUCUUGUGAGUGUGUGCAUGCAUGCUGUGGAUUCUCAUUAUUCUUAUAUUGUUGUACCCCAGUGAUCUCCUCAACUGAUAUCCGAACCUGUAUUUUAUGUCGUCGAGUGCUAAUUGUAUAAACCCUGUUUCUAGUAGUUUCGUUGGUUGCACUUUUCCAGGUAGAAUAAAGUCUGUUUUGAAACUUGUCCACUUAAAACUGACUUUGGGGUGCCUCCAUAGCAAUCAUAUUCAUAAAUUUGAUUCAAUUUUUAAUUGUCUUUCCGUAUGUUCCUUAGGAUAUCUAAUGUGCCACCAUCUGAGCAGGUAUCAUAUAUGUAGAGAUUUUUUUCUUUUAAAGGCGAGGGAGAGAAAGCCCACACGAGGAGUUCACAGCCUUUCAGUUCAGAGGUGAAAACCAGAUUGUAGUGAAAUCAGUAAGAAAAAACUCUAUUGAUUAGUGAGGCAGGAUUUCUAUAUCACUGACAAUUGGCUAGAAGUUCACUAGCUGCACUGACCACUGUAAGACUUUAAUUCCUUAUCAUGUUUUAUCAUCGUCAGGAAGAAUAGCACUAGAACUUUAUGUUUUACAAUUUUUUAAUCAAAUCUCUGAUAAAUAUUCUGGACUAGAAUAAAAAUUAUCUCAAAAUUAUGUGCUUUUACAUAAUGCCACAUAUAAAUGACAUAAUGCCAUAUAUAAAGUGUUUGAAGUUCAAUGGGGAAAAAUUUUCUCAAUAGUAGUUCAUAAGCUGGCAGUUUAUAAUUAAAUGAAUUGAUAAGUUUGGAAGAUACAGAAGAGCUGUGUAAAAUACUCUAAAUAUAAAUCUAAACAGGUUGAAUCCUCUACCAAUGUCAUAGUCUUUGCUGAAAUUAGGUAGUUCAGAAAAACAACCACCAGCACAUGAUAUGGUUUCCCCACAUACAUCUAAAAUGUUCUUUGAUCAUGUAAAGUUCAGGUAGUGAAUUAAAAGUAUGAGAAGUAGUAAACUAGUUCACCUUGAUUCCAGGGGCGGAAGCAAGUGACAGAUGACAGUGUGAAUUAAGCCAACCAGGCAUAUAUGAUAGAGCAUGUAAUACAUAACUGUAGUUAUGCAAGUGUAAGCAUGAAAGUGGCAAAAUUUCUCUCAGCCUCUGACUGUAGCCAUGGGAAAAAUUUAGUUGUAUAUGUUAUCCAUUCUUCAGGUGUUCAAAAAAACAUGCUCUGUGCUCCAAAGCAACUAUUCCACAUAAUGUUAGAAAAUAAACUCAGAAUUUUUGUUACAAAUAAUGUCUCUUUCAUAGGAAUAUACUGAUAAAUAUGUACACAUUCUCUUAAUAUACGCCCAAGUAAAAAUUCUGAACUUCAUAAUAUUCUUCAGUGUUAUUGUUUUACAACUACGGGGUAGUACAUGUCCUGUGAAACGUAGCUGAUAAUAGCAUGGUAGCAAUUGGGCACUGCUUCAAUUUCACUUGAAAAUUAAGGUUACUUUUUCUAAGAAAGAAUGGAAGCCUGGAGACUAUUUCAAUUUGUAUUCUUCAGCUGCUCUCCUUGCAAACAGUCUUGCAUUUAAGCUGUUUUGAAUGUUGCCUCGUGAGCAUGUACCACCAUAAUCACAAGGAACUCUUAAAUUUGUGCUGCUUGUGCCAGACUGGGAUUUUGAAGGGGCUUUUGUACAAUUUAAUUGGAGUGUUCUUUUCCUUCUAAUUUUCAUAGCUUUUUAUAUACCACUGUUGUGUCUACACCUUUUCUUACCGUUGUUUGCGAAUGAUACAGAAUUAGCAUCCCAAAAGCACAUUUACAUUGUGAGAUGAAAGAGGGAAUCUUACAAUUAACUUUUCAAGUGGUAGAGAGACAACUGAGUAUUCUUGCUGCUCUGGGGUUAUGAGCGGAACAUGCUGCUUACUGGAUUGUUUAGCUAGAAUUUGAAAUAUGCAGGAGAGAUUAAACAGGGGAUGUGUAGUAGUCUGAUUUGCAAAAACUUUCUGAAGAAAUUCACCAAGUGCUCUUAGUGCCACACUCUCACGGAGUUUUACUCAGGCACUGAUGCAAUCAGCUGCAAUAUUUAAUGUUGUAUUCAGCCUAAAUCUGUAAGCCGAGUAAGUCUUCAUCUUUAGGAUGAUUGUUAGAAUAAGAAACGCCUGAGAGUCUUUUUUAAUCACUCUGAACAUGCAGAGAAAGCAGCACUGCAAAUAAAGUUGAGCUGAAUUUUGUAUUUUAGUAUAGAUUUACUCGUGUUAUACGUGAGCUAUACAGAAUAAUUUAGUCCAAACCCUUUCUUCCUUGACUACUGAAUUGUUUUUAGAAGUUUUGAAGUAAAUCUGACAAGGAUAGAAGCAUUUUUGAAAAUGGAUGUUUUAAAAAUUUGUCACUUUGUGCAAAAUAAUGGGGGGCGGGGUGAGGAAAUAAAAGUGUUUUUAAAGUCAGCUUGAAAUAACAUCAUGUUAUUUCUUCCCCCAAUGCUAAAAUAUCACAAUUGU
This is a long non-coding RNA of Columba livia (rock pigeon), 10019 nucleotides long. RefSeq lists it as uncharacterized. NCBI's taxonomy places the organism in Eukaryota, Metazoa, Chordata, Aves, Columbiformes, Columbidae. The record is from RefSeq and is a predicted model, not a curated record. The transcript is spliced from 5 exons.